UACGUAGGGUGCAAGCGUUGUCCGGAAUUAUUGGGCGUAAAGAGCUCGUAGGCGGUCUGUCGCGUCGGAUGUGAAAACCCAGGGCUCAACCCUGGGCCUGCAUUCGAUACGGGCAGACUAGAGUUCGGUAGGGGAGACUGGAAUUCCUGGUGUAGCGGUGAAAUGCGCAGAUAUCAGGAGGAACACCGGUGGCGAAGGCGGGUCUCUGGGCCGAAAUUGACGCUGAGGAGCGAAAGCGUGGGGAGCAAACAGG
This 253-nucleotide ribosomal RNA is filed under the name uncultured bacterium. RNAcentral's name for it is "partial 16S ribosomal RNA". It matches the Rfam family "Bacterial small subunit ribosomal RNA", at positions 524 to 776 of the family's 1533-position model. The record is from RNAcentral.